GACGAACGCUGGCGGCGUGCUUAACACAUGCAAGUCGAACGGAAAGGCCCUGCUUUUGUGGGGUGCUCGAGUGGCGAACGGGUGAGUAACACGUGAGUAACCUGCCCUUGACUUUGGGAUAACUGCAGGAAACUGGGGCUAAUACCGGAUAGGAGCUCCCGCUGCAUGGUGGGGGUUGGAAAGUUUCGGCGGUUGGGGAUGGACUCGCGGCUUAUCAGCUUGUUGGUGGGGUAGUGGCUUACCAAGGCUUUGACGGGUAGCCGGCCUGAGAGGGUGACCGGCCACAUUGGGACUGAGAUACGGCCCAGACUCCUACGGGAGGCAGCAGUGGGGAAUAUUGCACAAUGGGCGGAAGCCUGAUGCAGCAACGCCGCGUGCGGGAUGACGGCCUUCGGGUUGUAAACCGCUUUCGCCUGUGACGAAGCGUGAGUGACGGUAAUGGGUAAAGAAGCACCGGCUAACUACGUG
This 468-nucleotide ribosomal RNA is filed under the name uncultured bacterium. RNAcentral describes it as "partial 16S ribosomal RNA". It matches the Rfam family "Bacterial small subunit ribosomal RNA", at positions 28 to 507 of the family's 1533-position model. The record is from RNAcentral.